GCUUCUCCACCACCACCUCCCUAUCACUACUCAUCACCUCCUCCUCCCGUCAAGUCUCCUCCACCACCCUAUCACUACUCAUCACCUCCUCCUCCCGUGAAAUCUCCACCACCUCCAUACCACUACUCGUCGCUUCCUCCUCCUAAAAAGUCUCCGCCACCUCCAUACCAUUACACUUCUCCUCCUCCUCCUAAGAAGUCUCCACCGCCUCCAUACCAUUACUCGUCGCCGCCUCCUCCUAAGAAAUCCCCGCCACCUUCAUACCAUUACAGUUCUCCUCCUCCUCCUCCUAAGAAAUCUCCACCACCACCAUACCAUUAUAGUUCUCCUCCCCCUCCAGUGAAAUCUCCACCGCCUCCAUACCAUUACUCGUCACCACCUCCUCCUAAGAAGUCUCAUCCGCCACCAUAUCAUUACUCGUCUCCUCCCCCUCCAGUGAAAUCUCCACUGCCUCCAUAUCACUACUCAUCGCCUCCUCCUCCUCCUAAAAAGUCUCCACCGCCUCCAUACCAUUACUCUUCAACUCCUCCUCCCAAGAAAUCUCCUCCACCAUCAUACCACUACUCGUCGCCUCCUCCUCCAGUGAAAUCUCCCCCACUUCUAUACCAUUACUCUUCCCCUCCGCCUCCCAAGAAGUCCCCCCCACCACCAUACCACUACUCCUCACCUCCUCCUCCGGUAAAGUCUCCACCGCCUCCAUACCACUACUCGUCACCUCCAUCACCCAAGAAGUCCCCCCCACCACCAUACCACUACUCAUCGCCUCCUCCUCCGGUUAAGUCUCCCCCACCACCGUACCACUACUCAUCACCACCUCCUCCCAAGAGGUCUCCUCCGCCACCGUAUCACUACUCGUCACCACCUCCUCUCAAAAAGUCUCAUCCGCCACCAUACCAUUACACAUCACCUCCACCACCUAAGAAGUCACCAC
This 931-nucleotide long non-coding RNA is filed under the name Linum usitatissimum (flax). RNAcentral describes it as "long non-coding RNA (LUSI_LNC003039)". The record is from RNAcentral. Lineage: Eukaryota; Viridiplantae; Streptophyta; Magnoliopsida; Malpighiales; Linaceae.